RNAcentral lists this ribosomal RNA (373 nucleotides) under uncultured eukaryote. Its description in RNAcentral is "partial 18S ribosomal RNA". It matches the Rfam family "Eukaryotic small subunit ribosomal RNA", at positions 592 to 976 of the family's 1831-position model. The record is from RNAcentral.
CAAUAGCGUAUAUUAAAGUUGUUGCAGUUAAAAAGCUCGUAGUUGAAUUUUUGCUUGCCGCCGAUGUCGGAACUUCCGUACGUUCGGCGGCGUGCAUCCUUGGGUGGAACCUGUGUGGCAUUAGGUUGUCGUGCAGGGGAUGCUCAUCGUUUACUGUGAAAAAAUUAGAGUGUUCAAAGCAGGCUUACGCCGUUGAAUAUAUUAGCAUGGAAUAAUAAGAUAGGACCUUGGUGCUAUUUUGUUGGUUUGCGCACCGAGGUAAUGAUUAACAGGGACAGUUGGGGGUAUUCGUAUUCCAUUGUCAGAGGUGAAAUUCUUGGAUUUCUGGAAGACGAACUACUGCGAAAGCAUUUACCAAGGAUGUUUUCAUUAA